RNAcentral lists this ribosomal RNA (507 nucleotides) under uncultured bacterium. RNAcentral describes it as "partial 16S ribosomal RNA". It matches the Rfam family "Bacterial small subunit ribosomal RNA", at positions 29 to 507 of the family's 1533-position model. The record is from RNAcentral.
ACGAACGCUGGCGGCGUGCCUAAUACAUGCAAGUCGAACGCUUCUUUCCUCCCGAGUGCUUGCACUCAAUUGGAAAGAGGAGUGGCGGACGGGUGAGUAACACGUGGGUAACCUACCCAUCAGAGGGGGAUAUCACUUGGAAACAGGUGCUAAUACCGCAUAACAGUUUAUGCCGCAUGGCAUAAGAGUGAAAGGCGCUUUCGGGUGUCGUUGAUGGAUGGACCCGCGGUGCAUUAGCUAGUUGGUGAGGUAACGGCUCACCAAGGCCACGAUGCAUAGCCGACCUGAGAGGGUGAUCGGCCACACUGGGACUGAGACACGGCCCAGACUCCUACGGGAGGCAGCAGUAGGGAAUCUUCGGCAAUGGACGAAAGUCUGACCGAGCAACGCCGCGUGAGUGAAGAAGGUUUUCGGAUCGUAAAACUCUGUUGUUAGAGAAGAACAAGGACGUUAGUAACUGAACGUCCCCUGACGGUAUCUAACCAGAAAGCCACGGCUAACUACGUG